GACGAACGCUGGCGGCGUGCUUAACACAUGCAAGUCGAACGGAAAGGCCCUGCUUUUGUGGGGUGCUCGAGUGGCGAACGGGUGAGUAACACGUGAGUAACCUGCCCUUGACUUUGGGAUAACUUCAGGAAACUGGGGCUAAUACCGGAUAGGAGCUCCUGCUGCAUGGUGGGGGUUGGAAAGUUUCGGCGGUUGGGGAUGGACUCGCGGCUUAUCAGCUUGUUGGUGGGGUAGUGGCUUACCAAGGCUUUGACGGGUAGCCGGCCUGAGAGGGUGACCGGCCACAUUGGGACUGAGAUACGGCCCAGACUCCUACGGGAGGCAGCAGUGGGGAAUAUUGCACAAUGGGCGGAAGCCUGAUGCAGCAACGCCGCGUGCGGGAUGACGGCCUUCGGGGUGUAAACCGCUUUCGCCUGUGACGAAGCGUGAGUGACGGUAAUGGGUAGAGAAGCACCGGCUAACUACGUG
RNAcentral lists this ribosomal RNA (468 nucleotides) under uncultured bacterium. RNAcentral's name for it is "partial 16S ribosomal RNA". It matches the Rfam family "Bacterial small subunit ribosomal RNA", at positions 28 to 507 of the family's 1533-position model. The record is from RNAcentral.